This 189-nucleotide small nuclear RNA is filed under the name Macaca fascicularis (crab-eating macaque). RNAcentral's name for it is "U2 spliceosomal RNA (ENSMFAG00000050785.1)". It matches the Rfam family "U2 spliceosomal RNA". From Rfam's summary of the family: U2 is a small nuclear RNA (snRNA) component of the spliceosome (involved in pre-mRNA splicing). The record is from Rfam by way of RNAcentral. Lineage: Eukaryota; Metazoa; Chordata; Mammalia; Primates; Cercopithecidae.
AUCGCUUCUCGGCCUUUUGGCUAAGAUCAAGUGUAGUACCUGUUUUUAUCAGUUUAAUAUCUGAUACGUCCUCUAUCCGAGGACAAUAUAUUAAAUGGAUUUUUGGAGCAGGGAGAUGGAAUAGGAGCUUGCUCCGUCCUCCACACAUCGACCUGGUAUUGCAGUACCUCCAGGAACGGUGCACCACCU